Non-coding RNA from Theobroma cacao (cacao), 155 nucleotides. The record is from RefSeq and is a predicted model, not a curated record. Lineage: Eukaryota; Viridiplantae; Streptophyta; Magnoliopsida; Malvales; Malvaceae.
GCUUUUGAAAAGCAAUUCAACUACAAAAAAAAAACCACCAAGGUUCCAACAAGGCCUUACAUAUCCGUUUGAAGUAAUAAUCAAAGUUAGAGUCGAUUAGAGGUUCAACAAUCCCGAUUUGGAGGCAGUUGGGACCUAGAUUGAGUCGCACACAU